This 77-nucleotide transfer RNA is filed under the name subsurface metagenome. RNAcentral's name for it is "tRNA-Ile". It matches the Rfam family "tRNA". Rfam says of the family: Transfer RNA (tRNA) molecules are approximately 80 nucleotides in length. Their secondary structure includes four short double-helical elements and three loops (D, anti-codon, and T loops). Further hydrogen bonds mediate the characteristic L-shaped molecular structure. tRNAs have two regions of fundamental functional importance: the anti-codon, which is responsible for specific mRNA codon recognition, and the 3' end, to which the tRNAs corresponding amino acid is attached (by aminoacyl-tRNA synthetases). tRNAs cope with the degeneracy of the genetic code in two manners: having more than one tRNA (with a specific anti-codon) for a particular amino acid; and 'wobble' base-pairing, i.e. permitting non-standard base-pairing at the 3rd anti-codon position. The record is from RNAcentral.
UGAGCCUGUAGCUCAGUCUGGUUAGAGCACUACUCUGAUAAGGUAGGGGUCCUCGGUUCAAAUCCGAGCAGGCUCAU